This 465-nucleotide ribosomal RNA is filed under the name uncultured bacterium. Its description in RNAcentral is "partial 16S ribosomal RNA". It matches the Rfam family "Bacterial small subunit ribosomal RNA", at positions 338 to 795 of the family's 1533-position model. The record is from RNAcentral.
CCUACGGGUGUCAGCAGUGGGGAAUAUUGCACAAUGGGCGCAAGCCUGAUGCAGCCAUGCCGCGUGAAUGAAGAAGGCCUUCGGGUUGUAAAGUACUUUCAUCGGGGAGGAAGGGAGUAAAGUUAAUACCUUUGCUCAUUGACGUUACCCGCAACAGAAGCACCGGCUAACUCCGUGCCAGCAUCCGCGGUAAUACGGAGGUUGCAAGCGUUAAUCGGAAUUACUGGGCGUAAAGCGCACGCAGGCGGUUUGUUAAGUCAGAUGUGAAAUCCCCGGGCUCACCCUGGGAACUGCAUCUGAUACUGGCAAGCGUGCGUCUCGUAGAGGGGGGUAGAAUUCCAGGUGUAGCGGUGAAAUGCGUAGAGAUCUGGAGGAAUACCGGUGGCGAAGGCGGCCCCCUGGACGAAGACUGACGCUCAGGUGUGAAAGCGUGGGGAGCAAACAGGAUUAGAUACCCGGGUAGUC